RNAcentral lists this ribosomal RNA (459 nucleotides) under uncultured bacterium. Its description in RNAcentral is "bacterial SSU rRNA". It matches the Rfam family "Bacterial small subunit ribosomal RNA", at positions 343 to 794 of the family's 1533-position model. The record is from RNAcentral.
UGGAGGCAGCAGUGGGGAAUAUUGCACAAUGGGCGAAAGCCUGAUGCAGCCAUGCCGCGUGUGUGAAGAAGGCCUUCGGGUUGUAAAGCACUUUAGGCGGGGAGGAAAAGCGUACGGUUAAUAACCGUGCGCCGUGACGUUACCCGCAGAAUAAGCACCGGCUAACUCCGUGCCAGCAGCCGCGGUAAUACGGAGGGUGCGAGCGUUAAUCGGAAUUACUGGGCGUAAAGCGCGCGUAGGCGGUUUGAUAAGCGGAGUGUGAAAUCCCCGGGCUUAACCUGGGAACUGCAUUCCGAACUGUCGAGCUAGAGUAUGAGAGAGGGUGGCGGAAUUCCGAGUGUAGCGGUGAAAUGCGUAGAUAUUCGGAGGAACACCAGUGGCGAAGGCGGCCACCUGGAUCAAUACUGACGCUGAGGCGCGAAAGCGUGGGUAGCAAACAGGAUUAGAUACCCCGGUAGG